GGGCGCAUAGCUCAGCAGGGAGAGCACUUGCCUUACAAGCAAGGGGUCAUAGGUUCAAGUCCUAUUGCUCCCACCA
This 76-nucleotide transfer RNA is filed under the name Clostridiales bacterium. RNAcentral's name for it is "tRNA-Val". It matches the Rfam family "tRNA". Rfam says of the family: Transfer RNA (tRNA) molecules are approximately 80 nucleotides in length. Lineage: Bacteria; Bacillati; Bacillota; Clostridia; Eubacteriales. The record is from RNAcentral.